Molecule: ribosomal RNA, 465 nt
Filed under: uncultured Klebsiella sp.
Lineage: Bacteria; Pseudomonadati; Pseudomonadota; Gammaproteobacteria; Enterobacterales; Enterobacteriaceae
Description: bacterial SSU rRNA
Rfam family: Bacterial small subunit ribosomal RNA
Source: RNAcentral
CCUACGGGUGGCAGCAGUGGGGAAUAUUGCGCAAUGGGCGCAAGCCUGAUGCAGCCAUGCCGCGUGUGUGAAGAAGGCCUUCGGGUUGUAAAGCACUUUCAGCGGGGAGGAAGGCGUUAAGGUUAAUAACCUUGUCGAUUGACGUUACCCGCAGAAGAAGCACCGGCUAACUCCGUGCCAGCAGCCGCGGUAAUACGGAGGGUGCAAGCGUUAAUCGGAAUUACUGGGCGUAAAGCGCACGCAGGCGGUCUGUCAAGUCGGAUGUGAAAUCCCCGGGCUCAACCUGGGAACUGCAUUCGAAACUGGCAGGCUAGAGUCUUGUAGAGGGGGGUAGAAUUCCAGGUGUAGCGGUGAAAUGCGUAGAGAUCUGGAGGAAUACCGGUGGCGAAGGCGGCCCCCUGGACAAAGACUGACGCUCAGGUGCGAAAGCGUGGGGAGCAAACAGGAUUAGAUACCCGAGUAGUC